UACGUAGGGUGCAAGCGUUGUCCGGAAUUAUUGGGCGUAAAGAGCUCGUAGGUGGCCUGUCGCGUCGGCUGUGAAAACUCAGGGCUCAACUCCGAGCUUGCAGUCGAUACGGGCAGGCUAGAGUUCGGCAGGGGAGACUGGAAUUCCUGGUGUAGCGGUGAAAUGCGCAGAUAUCAGGAGGAACACCGGUGGCGAAGGCGGGUCUCUGGGCCGAUACUGACACUGAGGAGCGAAAGCGUGGGGAGCGAACAGG
RNAcentral lists this ribosomal RNA (253 nucleotides) under uncultured bacterium. RNAcentral's name for it is "partial 16S ribosomal RNA". It matches the Rfam family "Bacterial small subunit ribosomal RNA", at positions 524 to 776 of the family's 1533-position model. The record is from RNAcentral.